This 319-nucleotide long non-coding RNA is filed under the name Phoenix dactylifera (date palm). RNAcentral describes it as "long non-coding RNA (PDAC_LNC011998)". The record is from RNAcentral. Lineage: Eukaryota; Viridiplantae; Streptophyta; Magnoliopsida; Arecales; Arecaceae.
UUUUUUUUUAAGAAAGAUAUAUAAAUUGUGCACUUUUACUCUUGUGGUGAUUUCUCCGUGUAACGAGCAAUCAGUCGACAACUCUCACACCAGUUGGCAUAAGGUGUCGGGCAUCAAGACUCCCCUACGGACUUAUGCUCGGAGUCCUCAUCACAAGCCCACUUGACCUUUGACAAUAGGUAGCCCUUUUCGAUGUUCCUGACUAAAUCCAUUUUUAUUGAUUUUUUUUUUAUUGGAUUAGAUAAGUAUGAUUCAUCAGGGUCCAAGGUUGCUACUAUACUAUCAACAUAAUGUCGAGCCUAGACCUUAGAAGGGUCGG